CAAGCGGCGGACGGGUGAGUAAUGUCUGGGAAACUGCCUGAUGGAGGGGGAUAACUACUGGAAACGGUAGCUAAUACCGCAUAAUGUCGCAAGACCAAAGUGGGGGACCUUCGGGCCUCAUGCCAUCAGAUGUGCCCAGAUGGGAUUAGCUAGUAGGUGGGGUAACGGCUCACCUAGGCGACGAUCCCUAGCUGGUCUGAGAGGAUGACCAGCCACACUGGAACUGAGACACGGUCCAGACUCCUACGGGAGGCAGCAGUGGGGAAUAUUGCACAAUGGGCGCAAGCCUGAUGCAGCCAUGCCGCGUGUGUGAAGAAGGCCUUCGGGUUGUAAAGCACUUUCAGCGGGGAGGAAGGCGAUAAGGUUAAUAACCUUGGCGAUUGACGUUACCCGCAGAAGAAGCACCGGCUAACUCCGUGCCAGCAGCCGCGGUAAUACGGAGGGUGCAAGCGUUAAUCGGAAUUACUGGGCGUAAAGCGCACGCAGGCGGUCUGUCAAGUCGGAUGUGAAAUCCCCGGGCUCAACCUGGGAACUGCAUUCGAAACUGGCAGGCUAGAGUCUUGUAGAGGGGGGUAGAAUUCCAGGUGUAGCGGUUGAAAUGCGUAGAGAUCUGGAGGAAUACCGGUGGCGAAGGCGGCCCCCUGGACAAAGACUGACGCUCAGUGCGAAAGCGUGGGGAGCAAAACAGGAUUAGAUACCCUGGUAGUCCACGCCGUAAAACGAUGUCGAUUUGGAGUUGUGCCCUUGAGGCGUGGCUUCCGGAGCUAACGCGUUAAAUCGACCGCCUGGUGGAGUACGGCCGCCAGGUUAAAACUCAAAUGAUUU
Molecule: ribosomal RNA, 825 nt
Filed under: Klebsiella pneumoniae
Lineage: Bacteria; Pseudomonadati; Pseudomonadota; Gammaproteobacteria; Enterobacterales; Enterobacteriaceae
Description: bacterial SSU rRNA
Rfam family: Bacterial small subunit ribosomal RNA
Source: RNAcentral